AAACCUCGACUUCGGARGGGGUGUAUUUAUUAGAUAAAAAACCAAUGCCCUCCGGGGCUCCCUGGUGAUUCAUAAUAACUAAACGAAUCGCAUGGCCUUGCGCCGGCGAUGGUUCAUUCAAAUUUCUGCCCUAUCAACUUUCGAUGGUAGGAUAGUGGCCUACCAUGGUGGCAACGGGUAACGGGGAAUUAGGGUUCUAUUCCGGAGAGGGAGCCUGAGAAACGGCUACCACAUCCAAGGAAGGCAGCAGGCGCGCAAAUUACCCAAUCCCGACACGGGGAGGUAGUGACAAUAAAUACUGAUGUGGAGCUCUUUAGGGUUUCACAAUUGGAAUGAGAAAAAUCUAAACCACUUAAACGAGGAACAAUUGGAGGGCAAGUCUGGUGCCAGCAGCCGCGGUAAUUCCAGCUCCAAUAGCGUAUAUUAAAGUUGUUGCAGUUAAAAAGCUCGUAGUUGAACCUUGGGCCUGGCCGGCCGGUCCGCCUCACCGCGUGCACUGGUUCGGCCGGGCCUUUCCUCCUGGGGAACCGCAUGCCCUUCACUGGGUGUGCCGGGGAAUCAGGACUUUUACUUUGAAAAAAUUAGAGUGUUCAAAGCAGGCAUUUGCUCGAAUACAUUAGCAUGGAAUAAUAGAAUAGGACGUUGUGGUUCUAUUUUGUUGGUUUCUAGGACCGCCGUAAUGAUUAAUAGGGACG
RNAcentral lists this ribosomal RNA (695 nucleotides) under Placopsis lateritioides. RNAcentral describes it as "SSU rRNA". It matches the Rfam family "Eukaryotic small subunit ribosomal RNA", at positions 175 to 891 of the family's 1831-position model. The record is from RNAcentral. Lineage: Eukaryota; Fungi; Ascomycota; Lecanoromycetes; Trapeliales; Trapeliaceae.